This 133-nucleotide ribosomal RNA is filed under the name Amanita farinosa. RNAcentral describes it as "partial 28S ribosomal RNA". It matches the Rfam family "Eukaryotic large subunit ribosomal RNA", at positions 1 to 132 of the family's 3401-position model. The record is from RNAcentral. Lineage: Eukaryota; Fungi; Basidiomycota; Agaricomycetes; Agaricales; Amanitaceae.
UUGACCUCAAAUCAGGUAGGACUACCCGCUGAACUUAAGCAUAUCAAUAAGCGGAGGAAAAGAAACUAACAAGGAUUCCCUUAGUAACUGCGAGUGAAGAGGGAAGAGCUCAAAUUUGAAAUCUGGCAGUGUU